UACGUAGGGGGCAAGCGUUGUCCGGAAUUAUUGGGCGUAAAGAGCUCGUAGGCGGUUUGUCGCGUCUGCUGUGAAAUCCCGAGGCUCAACCUCGGGCCUGCAGUGGGUACGGGCAGACUAGAGUGCGGUAGGGGAGAUUGGAAUUCCUGGUGUAGCGGUGGAAUGCGCAGAUAUCAGGAGGAACACCGAUGGCGAAGGCAGAUCUCUGGGCCGUAACUGACGCUGAGGAGCGAAAGCGUGGGGAGCGAACGGG
This 253-nucleotide ribosomal RNA is filed under the name uncultured bacterium. RNAcentral describes it as "partial 16S ribosomal RNA". It matches the Rfam family "Bacterial small subunit ribosomal RNA", at positions 524 to 776 of the family's 1533-position model. The record is from RNAcentral.